Molecule: ribosomal RNA, 328 nt
Filed under: uncultured eukaryote
Lineage: Eukaryota
Description: partial 18S ribosomal RNA
Rfam family: Eukaryotic small subunit ribosomal RNA
Source: RNAcentral
CCCUUAGAUGUCCUGGGCCGCACGCGCGUUACACUGAUGCAUUCAACGAGCUUAUAACCUUGGCCGAGAGGCCCGGGCAAUCUUGUUAACGUGCAUCGUGAUAGGGAUAGAUUAUUGAAAUUAUUAAUCUUGAACGAGGAAUUCCUAGUAAACGCAGAUCAUCAAUCUGCAUUGAUUACGUCCCUGCCCUUUGUACGCACCGCCCGUCGCACCUACCGAUUGGAUGGUCCGGUGAAGCCUCGGGAUUGUGGUUCUUGCCGCUUUAUUGUGGCGUGACCGCGAGAACUUGUCUAAACCUUAUCAUCUAGAGGAAGGUGAAGUCGUAACA